CAGUAGCCGCGGGAAUACGAAGGGUGCAAGCGUUACUCGGAUUUACUGGGCGUAAAGCGUGCGUAGGCGGCUUUUUAAGUCGGAUGUGAAAUCCCUGAGCUUAACUUAGGAAUUGCAUUCGAUACUGGGAAGCUAGAGUAUGGGAGAGGAUGGUAGAAUUCCAGGUGUAGCGGUGAAAUGCGUAGAGAUCUGGAGGAAUACCGAUGGCGAAGGCAGCCAUCUGGCCUAAUACUGACGCUGAGGUACGAAAGCAUGGGGAGCAAACAGGAUUAGAUACCCCUGUAGUCCCUGUCUCUUAUAC
This 301-nucleotide ribosomal RNA is filed under the name uncultured bacterium. RNAcentral's name for it is "partial 16S ribosomal RNA". It matches the Rfam family "Bacterial small subunit ribosomal RNA", at positions 509 to 807 of the family's 1533-position model. The record is from RNAcentral.